GUGCAUUCCGUUAAUGUAGACGGUGUGAAAACGGAAACAACAAGUAUGCCGGCUCACUGUGCUGCAUACAGUUACACACUGCGUCGUACGAUUGAGACAAGGAAACCCGGAAUGACUUUUCAUAGGUUUCCCAGAGACUAUGGGUUGAGGAGGAAGUGGAAGUUUGUCGGCUUAGACCUGGUGUCAUUCCAUCAGUGUUAAACUUCCCGGCUCAUCUUGGAAGAGUACGUGCCAGAAAGACCACGACCAAGCAGCCUUGAGAUCUUAGACAGCGUCUCCCUCAGGUCCCUCUCUAUCUCCCCACACAUCCACCAACCACUGGAACACAUCUCCAAAGUUCUGCCGGGCCAGCUCAGCUUCCCCUCAGAAGAAGUGCCGCCACCUGCCAGAUGAAGGAGCCUUUUGAGAGGCAGCUGGCAUCGUGAUUGGACUGUACUUUGGUCUGUUCCAAUCCAGCUUCAGCUCCAGAGACGGCAGGCGGGACGAGUCAACGGAGGCCAGGUGGACGAAGGCAUGCAGUUGAGUACAAUCCAGAAAACAACAGAGGAGGAGUGCAGCGGCCCAGGGCCAGAACAGAACCAAAGAACUACAGACUCUUCACAACCUGCUCAAACUCUUGGUACAGGACCUCACCACACGGGUCAAGAAGGU
Long non-coding RNA from Amphiprion ocellaris (clown anemonefish), 651 nucleotides. The record is from Ensembl. NCBI's taxonomy places the organism in Eukaryota, Metazoa, Chordata, Actinopteri, Pomacentridae.